This 185-nucleotide unclassified non-coding RNA is filed under the name plant metagenome. RNAcentral describes it as "partial contains small subunit ribosomal RNA and internal transcribed spacer 1". The stretch from base 1 to 46 matches the Rfam family "Eukaryotic small subunit ribosomal RNA", at positions 1786 to 1831 of the family's 1831-position model. The record is from RNAcentral.
AAGUCGUAACAAGGUUUCCGUAGGUGAACCUGCGGAAGGAUCAUUACUGAGUCUACGCUCGCCAGAGCUAACCUCCCACCCGUGUCUAUUACAUCUUGUUGCUUCGGCGGCAUCCGUGCCGCCGAGGACGCCAUUUGAACUCUGUUUUAUAAGGCAGUCUGAGAACAUAACUUAAUUAGUUAAAA